AGCUUUGUGGGGAAUUUUCCGCAAUGGGCGAAAAGCCUGACGGAGCAAUACCGCGUGAGGGAGGAAGGCUCUUGGGUUGUAAACCUCUUUUCUCAAGGAAGAAGAAAGUGACGGUACUUGAGGAAUCAGCAUCGGCUAACUCCGUGCCAGCAGCCGCGGUAAUACGGAGGAUGCAAGCGUUAUCCGGAAUGAUUGGGCGUAAAGCGUCCGCAGGUGGCUGUGUAAGUCUGCUGUCAAAGAGUCUAGCUCAACUAGAUAAAGGCAGUGGAAACUACACGGCUAGAGUGCGUUCGGGGCAGAGGGAAUUCCUGGUGUAGCGGUGAAAUGCGUAGAGAUCAGGAAGAACACCGGUGGCGAAGGCGCUCUGCUAGGCCGCAACUGACACUCAUGACGAAAAGCUG
Molecule: ribosomal RNA, 401 nt
Filed under: Nostoc punctiforme VB511286
Lineage: Bacteria; Bacillati; Cyanobacteriota; Cyanophyceae; Nostocales; Nostocaceae
Description: bacterial SSU rRNA
Rfam family: Bacterial small subunit ribosomal RNA
Source: RNAcentral